This 112-nucleotide ribosomal RNA is filed under the name uncultured Bacillota bacterium. Its description in RNAcentral is "uncultured Firmicutes bacterium partial 16S rRNA". It matches the Rfam family "Bacterial small subunit ribosomal RNA", at positions 355 to 465 of the family's 1533-position model. Lineage: Bacteria; Bacillati; Bacillota. The record is from RNAcentral.
UGGGGAAUCUUCCGCAAUGGACGAAAGUCUGACGGAGCAACGCCGCGUGAGUGAAGAAGGUUUUCGGAUCGUAAAGCUCUGUCUUCAGGGACGAACGUGCUAUUUGUGAAUA